This is a non-coding RNA of Schistosoma haematobium, 48 nucleotides long. Lineage: Eukaryota; Metazoa; Platyhelminthes; Trematoda; Strigeidida; Schistosomatidae. The record is from Rfam.
AUUCAGCUGACGAGUUGCAAACAGGACGAAGUGGCACGCGUCCUGGAU